This 450-nucleotide ribosomal RNA is filed under the name uncultured bacterium. RNAcentral's name for it is "partial 16S ribosomal RNA". It matches the Rfam family "Bacterial small subunit ribosomal RNA", at positions 338 to 795 of the family's 1533-position model. The record is from RNAcentral.
CCUACGGGGGGCUGCAGUGGGGAAUUUUGGACAAUGGGGGCAACCCUGAUCCAGCCAUGCCGCGUGCGGGAAGAAGGCCUUCGGGUUGUAAACCGCUUUUGUCAGGAGAGAAAUCUCUUGGGCUAAUACCCUGAGAGGAUGACGGUACCUGAAGAAUAAGCACCGGCUAACUACGUGCCAGCAGCCGCGGUAAUACGUAGGGUGCAAGCGGUAAGUGGAAUUUGCGGGCGUGGUGCGGCCGCAGGCGGGUGAAAUCCCCGGGCUUAACCUGGGAACUGCACUUGUGACUGAACGGCUAGAGUACGGCAGAGGGGGAUGGAAUUCCGCGUGUAGCAGUGAAAUGCGUAGAUAUGCGGAGGAACACCGAUGGCGAAGGCAGUCCCCUGGGCCUGUACUGACGCUCAUGCACGAAAGCGUGGGGAGCAAACAGGAUUAGAUACCCUAGUAGUC